This 73-nucleotide transfer RNA is filed under the name marine sediment metagenome. It matches the Rfam family "tRNA". From Rfam's summary of the family: Transfer RNA (tRNA) molecules are approximately 80 nucleotides in length. The record is from RNAcentral.
GCCCUGGUAGCUCAGCAGGUAGAGCGCCCGGCUGUUAACCGGUAGGUCGUAGGUUCGAGUCCUACCCAGGGCG